Molecule: long non-coding RNA, 757 nt
Filed under: Malus domestica (apple)
Lineage: Eukaryota; Viridiplantae; Streptophyta; Magnoliopsida; Rosales; Rosaceae
Description: long non-coding RNA (MDOM_LNC004434)
Source: RNAcentral
UGCAAGAAAUGUCUUACAAGUGUCAAGAACACACCUUUUGAAGGUGUUGUAAAUUGUUCUUCAAUAGUUCAAAACAGUUGGUUCUUCUACUUGAAUGUUUGAUUCCGUAUUAGUAACUAUGUUUUACAAUCAUUAAAAGUAUGGCUAAUAAGAAGUAGAAGAUUAAUGAGAGAAGAGAAAGUACUUCACAUUCGGAAAGUGAAUAAAAUAUAGAUUUCUGCGAAAGCAGAUGGUACUUACUUCCUCAUAUGAACUACCAAAGAAAUUGGAAAAACCAAAGACUGUCUUUACAUUCCAAUUUUAAGGAAUUUAAUUCCGUCACUAUAGUAGAGAUGGAUGAAUGUUUUGUUUGACAAAACAUUGUUCUUUAUUAAUCAAUGAUUGGAUUAUAGUAAUCUAAUUGAUUGUCUCUAUAGUAGAGAUGAUAUGGUAGUGUUAACUGUUUAGAAUACAACGAUGCUUAAAACCCAAAAGGUUGCAAGGUAGUGACUAAUCCCAACUAAAGUUGUGAUACCUCUAAAACAUAAAUUACGAGUUGGUCAUAGAUGGACGCUUUGGAUCGUUAGAUCCGGAUCCAAUACCUUCUUGUUAAAAUUAUAUAGAGGCGAAAUGUUCGAAUCUUUAUUCUUUUGGAAAGAAGAAAGAAUCACAAAGUUGUUGAGGUUAAUUCACUUAGAUGUUAGUGGCUCUUGUCCACAAACAUAAUACUACUCAUGUUGGAUAACAUUCACCGAAGAUCACUCUCGGUUGGACUAUA